This 483-nucleotide ribosomal RNA is filed under the name uncultured bacterium. RNAcentral describes it as "partial 16S ribosomal RNA". It matches the Rfam family "Bacterial small subunit ribosomal RNA", at positions 29 to 522 of the family's 1533-position model. The record is from RNAcentral.
AGUGAACGCUGGCGGCGUGCUUAACACAUGCAAGUCGAACGAGAACGGGAUAUAGCUUGCUAUAUUUGUCAGCUAAGUGGCGCACGGGUGAGUAAUGUAUAGGUAAUAUGCCUCUUACUAAGGGAUAACAAUUGGAAACGAUUGCUAAUACCUUAUAUGCCUUUAAGAAUAAAGUCUGCAAGGGAAAGAUUUAUUGGUAAGAGAUUAGCCUGUAUUGUAUCAGCUAGUUGGUGAGGUAAUGGCUCACCAAGGCUAUGACGCAUAACUGGUUUGAGAGGAUGAUCAGUCACACUGGAACUGAGACACGGUCCAGACCCCUACGGGAGGCAGCAGUGGGGAAUAUUGCACAAUGGACGAAAGUCUGAUGCAGCAACGCCGCGUGGAGGAUGACACAUUUCGGUGCGUAAACUCCUUUUAUAUAGGAAGAUAAUGACGGUACUAUAUGAAUAAGCACCGGCUAACUCCGUGCCAGCCGCCGCUUAA